GGAGUUUGGGAGGGGGAGCAGUGGGGUUUGAACUGGCGAUUUCACUGUUCACACACAGGAGAUCGCACCGCUUGGUGUCCCCAUGAGGACAUAAUAUUUAUUUUUACGAUAAUCAUAGAGUAUGUAAACUUCAAUGAUGCAGAUUAGUUUUCAAUUAUAAUAAAACUUUUUAUUAGAUAAAUUAUUAAACUAUCCUUACAAAAUUAUUAAUAAGGACCGACACUAUAAUAAUAAUAAUAGCCUAG
RNAcentral lists this long non-coding RNA (245 nucleotides) under Salvia miltiorrhiza (redroot sage). RNAcentral's name for it is "long non-coding RNA (SMIL_LNC000416)". The record is from RNAcentral. Lineage: Eukaryota; Viridiplantae; Streptophyta; Magnoliopsida; Lamiales; Lamiaceae.